AGUGAACGCUGGCGGUAGGCCUAACACAUGCAAGUCGAACGGCAGCACAGUAAGAGCUUGCUCUUACGGGUGGCGAGUGGCGGACGGGUGAGGAAUACAUCGGAAUCUACUUUUUCGUGGGGGAUAACGUGGGGAAACUUACGCUAAUACCGCAUACGACCUGCGGGUGAAAGCAGGGGAUCUUCGGACCUUGCGCGAUUGAAUGAGCCGAUGUCGGAUUAGCUAGUUGGCGGGGUAAAGGCCCACCAAGGCGACGAUCCGUAGCUGGUCUGAGAGGAUGAUCAGCCACACUGGAACUGAGACACGGUCCAGACUCCUACGGGAGGCAGCAGUGGGGAAUAUUGGACAAUGGGCGCAAGCCUGAUCCAGCCAUACCGCGUGGGUGAAGAAGGCCUUCGGGUUGUAAAGCCCUUUUGUUGGGAAAGAAAAGCAGCAGGUUAAUACCCCGCUGUUCUGACGGUACCCAAAGAAUAAGCACCGGCUAACUUCGUG
This 492-nucleotide ribosomal RNA is filed under the name uncultured bacterium. RNAcentral describes it as "partial 16S ribosomal RNA". It matches the Rfam family "Bacterial small subunit ribosomal RNA", at positions 29 to 507 of the family's 1533-position model. The record is from RNAcentral.